UACGUAGGGUGCGAGCGUUGUCCGGAAUUAUUGGGCGUAAAGCGCGUGUAGGCGGCUUGGUAAGUCGGGUGUGAAAGCCCUCAGCUCAACUGAGGAAGUGCGCCCGAAACUACUGAGCUUGAGUGCCGGAGAGGGUGGCGGAAUUCCCCAAGUAGAGGUGAAAUUCGUAGAUAUGGGGAGGAACACCGGUGGCGAAGGCGGCCACCUGGACGGUGACUGACGCUGAGACGCGAAAGCGUGGGUAGCAAACAGG
Molecule: ribosomal RNA, 253 nt
Filed under: uncultured bacterium
Lineage: Bacteria
Description: partial 16S ribosomal RNA
Rfam family: Bacterial small subunit ribosomal RNA
Source: RNAcentral